This 23-nucleotide ribosomal RNA is filed under the name Serendipita indica. RNAcentral describes it as "partial 25S rRNA". The record is from RNAcentral. Lineage: Eukaryota; Fungi; Basidiomycota; Agaricomycetes; Sebacinales; Serendipitaceae.
UUAGCAUAUCAAUAAGCGGAGGA